Molecule: ribosomal RNA, 301 nt
Filed under: uncultured bacterium
Lineage: Bacteria
Description: partial 16S ribosomal RNA
Rfam family: Bacterial small subunit ribosomal RNA
Source: RNAcentral
CAGCAGCCGCGGGAAUACGAAGGGUGCAAGCGUUACUCGGAAUUACUGGGCGUAAAGCGUGCGUAGGUGGUGGUUUAAGUCCGUUGUGAAAGCCCUGGGCUCAACCUGGGAAUUGCAGUGGAUACUGGGUCACUAGAGUGUGGUAGAGGAUAGUGGAAUUUCCGGUGUAGCAGUGAAAUGCGUAGAGAUCGGAAGGAACAUCUGUGGCGAAGGCGACUAUCUGGGCCAACACUGACACUGAGGCACGAAAGCGUGGGGAGCAAACAGGAUUAGAUACCCGGGUAGUCCCUGUCUCUUAUAC